UGGAAGAGUCUGCUGGCGGGAAGGGAGAAGAGUGGGAGGAGGAAAUAAGCAACAGGCAGCUUCCUUUCUUGACAGAUGGAAAAUAAAGGGCCUGUGCACAGCUCGGCGAACUGCUCCGUGGACCUCCCAGCGGGGCUGCUUUCUGAGGUGAUGGUCUCCUCGCUCCUUAGCCAGCCUGGUGGAGCCAGCUACUGACGUUGGAAAGGAGUUGGAGGAUGGAGCACCAGAUACUGCUACACCAUCUCAUUGGCAUGGACCUAUAUGUGGCAGCAAGUCCAUCUCAUCGCUUUUGGUGAAAGUCAGUCCAGUUUGUAAAGAUUCUCAUUGCCUUGGAAAGUGUUCCAGAAAUGGACUUUUUGCAGUAUGAUGACCUGCAAAAGCAGCCCUUCCAUUUACGUUUCAAACUCCAAGUCAGCCGUGUCAAAGUUUGAACCAGGACUGUGGAGGAUAAUGGGUCAGAUGCAAUUAGCAGCCCAGAGAACCGCACGUUGCAGUCUGAUUUAUUUUUUUGCCCAUCAGAUUCCAAGAAUCCUAGUGCUUAAAAGCAACUAAACAAUCGCUCUAUUGUACUGAAAUAAAGCCCGGUUAAUUCAGAAAUCAAUUGCACCACCAGGUGGGGCACACUCUGGCCCCAAACAGAUGGGGUUGAAAACUCCCCCCAAAAUGCAGUCUUGUUAAAUUAAAAACUUGAUCCAGGAGUGGAACAAAUAGGGAGCCAUGAAUGGAAUGGAGUCAGGUCCACUCAGGCGGAUUCUUUCUUCUCCCACUCCUUUUCCUUUAAAAAAGAAAAAUUCCCCAUUUCACUUUCAUCAGUGUUAGCAUCUAUGCAGAAACGCAGCCAUCCACCCUUUGCAGUUGAAUGUGUUACUUUAAUUAGUCUGAAAAUUAAAGGGCAACUCUGGGCCAAUGUGAAUGAUUAUGAAAAUACAUGUGCAUCCCAUGCAAUCUUCUCAUUUAAUUAAUAGUCUUGUAAACUAUAUGGCUCACUUUAAGUCAGUCAAGAGGUAUAACAACUCCAUUUUAAAUAUCCACUUAAUACUUAACAGGAUGUGAGGAACACACUAUAGCAUACGGUCCCUUCUCAAGUUUCACUGUCUGAAAUUUUUCAAAGCUGACCCAAGUCAACCCGAAAAAUGUUUAACACCCUGGGCUUGAACACAAGAAACUCUGUGAUGAACAGACAUUCAAUUACAUUUUUUAAAAGUGAGAAGCAUUUUUGUAAAAUAGCGACUCUGGAAACUAAUUGGCAGCCGCAAAACUUGUGAGCAAAGGCCAAAUCUUGUGGGGAACUUUUACUACAGUAACACGACUCAAAGAAAAUGUGAAUAAAAGGCAUCUUUGUUUCCCAGUCAAAUUAGCUGAUUAAGAAAUAAAACAUCUUAACAUGUU
This 1389-nucleotide long non-coding RNA is filed under the name Pan troglodytes (chimpanzee). Its description in RNAcentral is "lincRNA". Lineage: Eukaryota; Metazoa; Chordata; Mammalia; Primates; Hominidae. The record is from RNAcentral.